GCAUAAUCACUAGUUUUUUAAUUGAAAGCUUGAAUGAAGGGUUGGACGAGAAGUUAACUGUCUUUACUAAAAAAAUAGAAUUUAACUUUUAAGUGAGAGGGCUUAAAUAUUUUAGGGGGACGAUAAGACCCUAUAAAAUUUAACAAUUAAGAAAUUAAUAGGGAGUAAGAUAAAGUUAGAGGUACUGUUAAAGGUUGUGUUGUUUUGUUGGGGCGACGGGAAUAUAAGUGAAUUAACUGUUCUUUAAUUAAAAUUUCAUUAAUGUUUGUAGUUUGUGAUCCUUGUUAGAGAUGAGAAGAAGAAAAUUACUUUAGGGAUAACAGCGUAAUUUUUUUUGAGAGUUCCUAUCGACAAAAAAGUUUGCGACCUCGAUGUUGAAUUAA
Molecule: ribosomal RNA, 383 nt
Filed under: Engaewa similis
Lineage: Eukaryota; Metazoa; Arthropoda; Malacostraca; Decapoda; Parastacidae
Description: partial 16S large subunit ribosomal RNA
Rfam family: Bacterial large subunit ribosomal RNA
Source: RNAcentral